RNAcentral lists this ribosomal RNA (497 nucleotides) under uncultured bacterium. Its description in RNAcentral is "partial 16S ribosomal RNA". It matches the Rfam family "Bacterial small subunit ribosomal RNA", at positions 28 to 507 of the family's 1533-position model. The record is from RNAcentral.
GAUGAACGCUGGCGGCGUGCCUAAUACAUGCGAGUCGAGCGAACAGACGAGGGGCUUGCUCCUCUGACGUUAGCGGCGGACGGGUGAGUAACACGUGGAUAACCUACCUAUAAGACUGGGAUAACUUCGGGAAACCGGAGCUAAUACCGGAUAAUAUAUUGAACCGCAUGGUUCAAUAGUGAAAGACGGUUUUGCUGUCACUUAUAGAUGGAUCCGCGCCGCAUUAGCUAGUUGGUAAGGUAACGGCUUACCAAGGCAACGAUGCGUAGCCGACCUGAGAGGGUGAUCGGCCACACUGGAACUGAGACACGGUCCAGACUCCUACGGGAGGCCGCAGUAGGGACUCUUCCGCAAUGGGCGAAAGCCUGACGGAGCAACGCCGCGUGAGUGAUGAAGGUCUUCGGAUCGUAAAACUCUGUUAUUAGGGAAGAACAAAUGUGUAAGUAACUAUGCCCGUCUUGACGGUACCUAAUCAGAAAGCCCCGGCUAACUACGUG